Molecule: ribosomal RNA, 405 nt
Filed under: uncultured prokaryote
Also listed under: 1 other name
Description: bacterial SSU rRNA
Rfam family: Bacterial small subunit ribosomal RNA
Source: RNAcentral
UGGGGGAUAUUGCACAAUGGGCGAAAGCCUGAUGCAGCAACGCCGCGUGAGGGAAGACGGUUUUCGGAUUGUAAACCUCUGUCUUCGGUGACGAAUAAUGACGGUAGCCGAGGAGGAAGCCACGGCUAACUACGUGCCAGCAGCCGCGGUAAUACGUAGGUGGCAAGCGUUGUCCGGAAUUACUGGGUGUAAAGGGUGCGCAGGCGGGAUAGAAAGUCAGCUGUGAAAACUAUGGGCUCAACCCAUAGACUGCAGUUGAAACUGUUGUUCUUGAGUGAAGUAGAGGUAGGCGGAAUUCUGAGUGUAGCGGUGAAAUGCGUAGAUAUUCGGAGGAACACCAGUGGCGAAGGCGGCCUACUGGGCUUUAACUGACGCUGAGGCACGAAAGCAUGGGGAGCAAACAGG